RNAcentral lists this ribosomal RNA (253 nucleotides) under uncultured bacterium. RNAcentral's name for it is "partial 16S ribosomal RNA". It matches the Rfam family "Bacterial small subunit ribosomal RNA", at positions 524 to 776 of the family's 1533-position model. The record is from RNAcentral.
GACAGAGGGGGCAAGCGUUGCUCGGAAUCACUGGGCGUAAAGGGCGCGUAGGCGGGAUGGCAAGUCGGUCGUGAAAUCCUUCGGCUCAACCGAAGAACGUCGGCCGAUACUGCCGUUCUUGAGGGAUGCAGAGGAGAUUGGAAUUCCCGGUGUAGCGGUGAAAUGUGUAGAGAUCGGGAGGAACACCGGUGGCGAAGGCGGGUCUCUGGGCAUCUCCUGACGCUGAGACGCGAAAGCGUGGGUAGCAAACAGG